Molecule: ribosomal RNA, 774 nt
Filed under: uncultured Neocallimastigales
Lineage: Eukaryota; Fungi; Neocallimastigomycota; Neocallimastigomycetes; Neocallimastigales
Description: partial large subunit ribosomal RNA
Rfam family: Eukaryotic large subunit ribosomal RNA
Source: RNAcentral
UACGACUACAUAUCAGGCAUAUCAAUAAGCGGAGGAAAAGAAACUAACAAGGAUUCCCCUAGUAACGGCGAGUGAAGCGGGAAGAGCUCAAAUUUGAAAUCUUAAAGGGUUUCCCUUUACGAAUUGUAGUUUAAAGAAGUGUUUUCUGUUGGAGUUUCGGUAAAAGUUCUUUGGAAUAGGACAUCAUAGAGGGUGAGAAUCCCGUAUUUGACCGUUACUUUCCAGCUGUGUGAUACACUUUCAAAGAGUCGGAUUGUUUGGGAAUGCAGUCCAAGAUGGGUGGUAAAUUUCAUCUAAAGCUAAAUAUUGGCGAGAGACCGAUAGCGAACAAGUACCGUGAGGGAAAGAUGAAAAGAACUUUAAAAGAGAGUUAAACAGUACGUGAAAUUGUCAAAAGGGAAGCGUUUGACACCAGUGUUGUUUAGUUGAAAAUCAAUUCAAUAGUUUUUGAUUCUAAGUAGUAUUGACUUCAUCAGCUUGCUGCUUUCUUCUCAGAAAUUAUUGAAUGCACUUUUCAGUUAACAAGUCAACAUCAAUUUCUUUUGUUGUAAAAGGGUAAGAGGAAGGUGGCUUGCGCUUCGGCUCAAGUGUUUAUAGCCUUUUAUCUCUGCAAUCGGAGAGAUUGAGGUCUGCAGCGUAGAUCCUUCGGGGUUAGAUACAUUGGUGCUAAGCUAUAGCCUUGUAUAGACAACUUGUUGACUAUGCUCAGUCAUGUAGCUUACUCGCUGAUGCUAUUUUACCUACGCUUAGGAUGUUGAGUAGCGACAUACGCAC